AUGCUUUUACUGGUUCUGGGGGAGGAGCUUGCCCAAAGAGCGUCUUUCGACAGAUGAAGAGGGGGAAUCGGCGUCAGACAGAUUGAUUAACAGGUUAUUAACGUAUGGAUGGUGAGUCCUUUGGUCAAAUGGAUGUUGGAAUUGUGUUGGUGAAUCCCGAAGGUGUCUCUCCCCAACAUCAGAUCUUCACCCAGCAAGCCUGAAAAUAGUCAUUGAGGGUGAAGUUGUUGUGGAAAAGGUGACAACCCUGCCAGAAGCUGUGUCUCCUUUUCAGGCUCACAUAUGGAUUCCACCUAAACUACCCUAAGAAAACCUCCCUUCUGUUCAUUCAACAUGUAUUUUUUGCUUUGGGAAGCACUGAGCUGAAAAAUCAACUACCUGUGUAAAAGAUUUUUCCAGAUGCUCUAUUUUUGUUUAGAUGGAAAAAGGUUUGGUUUUUAGCUCAUGGUUUGUACUGUUGAAGGUCAGCAAAGGCCACAUUUAAAUACAAAAUUAAUAACAAUGGCCUGGAGGCCAGUGAAAUUUACAGGCUGACAAAACUUUAAACUGUUACACAAACAUUCCAGUUCAUUACUACGUUUAACAACUACUGUGUGCUACCGUCCUAGUAUUUUUAUUUUUUGAAGGAUUUCAAGUUUAAACAAUCUGUACAAGGUAGCGAUGCUCAUCGUUAUUGUGCAAUUAAUCAGUUUACCUGUCAAAGCACUAAGCUUGUGUUAUAACCAGAUUAAUGAUGUAAAUAUGAAAUAACUGAGCUAGCAUUUAUCAAGUUGUUAUGCAAGCUUGUUCUUUGCACAAUGUUUUAAAAUUUCCAAAGAUAAUUUUUGUAAACCCAUUUUAAAGGGUUAAAUGCAGAAUUGUUUAGACAAAGCACGUUACCGGCUUUAUAACAAAUGUUUAACAUGGUGUUUAACAUGUUGCUGUAACACAAUUUUUUUUUCAAUAAAGUUUUGGAAAAUAA
Molecule: non-coding RNA, 961 nt
Organism: Nothobranchius furzeri (turquoise killifish)
Lineage: Eukaryota; Metazoa; Chordata; Actinopteri; Cyprinodontiformes; Nothobranchiidae
Source: RefSeq, a predicted model, not a curated record